This 1010-nucleotide long non-coding RNA is filed under the name Pogona vitticeps (central bearded dragon). Its description in RNAcentral is "lncRNA (ENSPVIG00000017523.1)". The record is from RNAcentral. Lineage: Eukaryota; Metazoa; Chordata; Lepidosauria; Squamata; Agamidae.
AUAAACUGAACUGACCAGCAAUCUAUCCACUUGACUACGCCAUAGUGAGGCUGUCUGUUGGAAGAGGAAGACCCACCACUUCUGCCUUUGCUGCGCUUCUCUUUCCUUUUCCAGUACAGACAUCCCACCUUCCCUUUCCUGCUGUCAAUUCUUUUUUUUUCUCAGUUUCAAGUCAACUUCCUCUUUUAGAAGGCAAAAAUAAGCUAGCAGAUGACGCUGUCAAGGGCUGUAAGACAUGUGAUGGGGUUGUCUGGUAGUAGAAGGCUGGCCUUUUCAAAGUCAAGGCUUUUAAGAUGACAAGGAGCUCACAUUUCAAGUACUAAAUGAUAACUUUGUUAUCAUCAGGAUAUUGUGGAUGGAAUUUUGAAAGCAGAUAAACGUCAAAGAGAUUUUUUUCAGAAACUGAUGCAACUUUUCAGUAGAUCAACUUCUCAUAUUUAUUGCAUGACAUUUGGCAACUGAAGAACUGCAGGGUUUGGUUUUUUUUUAAAAUAAAAGUUAAUUUCUCCAUUCUUCUUUAAGAUGCCAAAGUGGCUGAGAAUCGUGUUUCUCCUGUUAGCAUCGUUUUGUUUAGGUCUACAGAAGGGAAACAGCAAUGAUGAUGACAAUGACAGCGAUGAUGAUGGUGAUGUUGAUGGUACGUUUUAUUGGAAUUUACACUAUAUUUAUUUAUACUGGAGUAUAUGACUUGCUUAAUCAUUUGUAGUAAAUACGGUACCUUCGUUGUAGUGUAUGCUAACAUAGAUAGCUGCAGUUUUUGUUUUGAUGAGAAAUAAGCACAAAUCUGGGCAGAAAGUAUAACACCAUCUGUUUAGAGUGUUCUAAAAUAUUGUUUGAGAUGUAGAGAAAAUGAAACUAACAGGAACAGGGCUGGAGCCAAUAUUUGCUAAAUUAAUGUUUAGGGCUCUGAACAAUUCAAAAGCAGGCCUGCAGAAACUGUGCUUAAUGUGGUUAAGAAUGGUGCCAAUCUGAAUUCAGUGUGUUCCCCAAUAAAGACAACAGAUCCAACA